UCACUUCACCCACCAUUCUAUACUCUCUGCCUCUCCCCUCAGGGAGAAUUCAGCAAGCUGAUUUACAUACCAUUUAACAAUACAAAACCACCUAAAUCAAGUCAAAGCAUAUAUUGGGGUCAGUGGCGGUUGGUGGCUCCUGAGAUGGAGGGUGGAGCGCGCUGAGCAGGGCAGGUGAUGGGCAGAGCCAGGAUGCUAGUACUGGAGCCCAUAAUCCACAGCUAAGGUGGCCAGGCUGCAGGCAAGGAACAAACAUAAGAAGGUAUUCAGAAAAACAGAAAGGAGAUGAAAUGGCUGACAAAUAUUUUCAGUUGUCUUUUUACUGGGUUCAUGGUAAGAAGAACAAAAGUUGAAGCUUGCUUGCCUGAGAAUGGAAAAUAUGUCUGUAAGGGACAGUGCCACCUGCUGGCCCUUAUAAAUUGUGACGAUAAUCCAUAUCUUUCUUUUCAACAAACUUCAGAAAAGAUCAUGAAUGGAUCACAUUCUGGACAGAGGUGAAUGCCAAUGUCAGGGUACCCUGGAGGAGCAACAGACUCAAGCAAGGCUUUUGAAAACAAGAGGAAGCCAGAGUUUCCCAAAAGGAGCAGGGGAAGGCGGACUGGUAAUGCUGUUGAUCUGUAAUAUUGCCGUGAAAAUAAACUUGAAAUAAAAUACUAAACAGGAACAA
Long non-coding RNA from Hemicordylus capensis (graceful crag lizard), 667 nucleotides. RefSeq lists it as uncharacterized. The record is from RefSeq and is a predicted model, not a curated record. The transcript has 5 exons. NCBI's taxonomy places the organism in Eukaryota, Metazoa, Chordata, Lepidosauria, Squamata, Cordylidae.